UACAGAGGUCUCAAGCGUUGUUCGGAUUCAUUGGGCGUAAAGGGUGCGUAGGUGGCGCGCUAAGUCAGGUGUGAAAUUUCGGAGCUUAACUCCGAAACUGCAUUUGAUACUGGCGUGCUUGAGGACUGGAGAGGAGACUGGAAUUCACGGUGUAGCAGUGAAAUGCGUAGAGAUCAUGAGGAAUACCAGAGGCGAAGGCGGCUACCUGGACAAUUGCUGACGCUCAGGCACGAAAGCGUGGGGAGCAAAAGGG
Molecule: ribosomal RNA, 253 nt
Filed under: uncultured prokaryote
Description: partial 16S ribosomal RNA
Rfam family: Bacterial small subunit ribosomal RNA
Source: RNAcentral